This 460-nucleotide ribosomal RNA is filed under the name uncultured bacterium. RNAcentral's name for it is "partial 16S ribosomal RNA". It matches the Rfam family "Bacterial small subunit ribosomal RNA", at positions 338 to 795 of the family's 1533-position model. The record is from RNAcentral.
CCUACGGGUGACAGCAGUGAGGAAUAUUGGUCAAUGGACGAGAGUCUGAACCAGCCAAGUAGCGUGAAGGAUGACUGCCCUAUGGGUUGUAAACUUCUUUUAUAUGGGAAUAAAAUGUUCCACGUGUGGGAUUUUGUAUGUACCAUACGAAUAAGGAUCGGCUAACUCCGUGCCAGCAGCCGCGGUAAUACGGAGGAUACGAGCGUUAUCCGGAUUUAUUGGGUUUAAAGGGAGCGUAGGUGGAUUGUUAAGUCAGUUGUGAAAGUUUGCGGCUCAACCGUAAAAUUGCAGUUGAAACUGGCAGUCUUGAGUACAGUAGAGGUGGGCGGAAUUCGUGGUGUAGCGGUGAAAUGCUUAGAUAUCACGAAGAACUCCGAUUGCGAAGGCAGUUCACUGGACUGCAACUGACACUGAGGCUCGAAAGUGUGGGUAUCAAACAGGAUUAGAUACCCGAGUAGUC